Molecule: ribosomal RNA, 159 nt
Filed under: Rhizopogon sp. PtRD-32-2
Lineage: Eukaryota; Fungi; Basidiomycota; Agaricomycetes; Boletales; Rhizopogonaceae
Description: 5.8S ribosomal RNA
Rfam family: 5.8S ribosomal RNA
About the family: 5.8S ribosomal RNA (5.8S rRNA) is a component of the large subunit of the eukaryotic ribosome. It is transcribed by RNA polymerase I as part of the 45S precursor that also contains 18S and 28S rRNA. Functionally, it is thought that 5.8S rRNA may be involved in ribosome translocation.
Source: RNAcentral
ACUUUCAGCAAUGGAUCUCUUGGCUCUCGCAUCUAUGAAGAACGCAGCGAAACGCGAUAUGUAAUGUGAAUUGCAGAUCUACAGUGAAUCAUCGAAUCUUUGAACACACCUUGCGCUCCUUGGUGUUCCGAAGAGCAUGCCUGUUUGAGUGUCAGUAAU